GGGGAUGGUCGCUAGAAUUGUAAAUUCUGGAGAGUUUGUAAGUCUUCUGUCCCCAGGGAGCUAUCAUGCUUUGUUUACUUUUGUUCUGUUGGUUAGGCGCUGCUUCUCAUUGCAAGUAUGAAUUUCAAACUACCCUGUUCUCUUUUUAACUGUUUUCCUGGUUCUCUCCGUACGGCAGGGAAAGACUCUCGUAUCCUUGUCUUCAGGCUCGGUGCUGUCCACGAAGAUACGGAGACUAAAAAAAUCAUAAGAAGCAAAAUAUGACUGCAGGGAAAACAAGCUGGAGAGAACAAAAGACUCAUCACGGCGGGACAGCGUGGAGACUGAAA
This is a long non-coding RNA of Melozone crissalis (California towhee), 329 nucleotides long. RefSeq lists it as uncharacterized. The transcript has 2 exons. The record is from RefSeq and is a predicted model, not a curated record. NCBI's taxonomy places the organism in Eukaryota, Metazoa, Chordata, Aves, Passeriformes, Passerellidae.